AUGAAGUACUAUAAUGUUACCUUAUCUUAUUUGGAAAUGAUCAGUGCGAAAUUGUCACAACUGAAGAGAAAUAAAAUUUAAACAACCUCUCCUAGAAGCCGAACGCUUUGUUUAUCGGGUAAAACUGGAGUGGAAGUCAAUAAACGAGUAAUUACCGUACCUUAUUAUUUCCUGUUCCAUUUUCCAAUUAAUUUGGGUAGGACUUGGAGGCAAAUCAGAAAAUGAAUAAUAAAUCAGCUGUCGAAUUUAUCAAUUCAGUGGUGAGAAAUCUACAAGUGUUGUGUCACAGUAAUGUAGAUUUCAGUGAAGAUGUUGAAGUUAUUGGACAUAUUUAUCUCAGUGUUGAUAAAUCUAAAAAGUUUAAUUAUAUUCUCAAUGAAAAAGUGUGUAAGAGUGACAAUUCAUCAACAGUCUUUGUUAGUAACAGUUUCCAUGCAGAUCAGAAUGAAAAAACAGAUUCUGAUUCAGCUAAACAAAGUAAUAAAGCAAAACCUAGCCCUAGUACGGGCCCUUCCACAGAUGAAAGAUUGCGUUUUCCAAUUCCCCCCAAACAAAAUAUUCCAUCAAAACGCUUACCCACAAGUGAAAUUAGACAGACUCCAUUGAUAGGUGACAAAAAUAUAUUUCAAGACAACCGGUUUAAACUAAGUGAUAAAGCACGACAUUUACAGAGAGACAAUUCACACAAUAAAUAUGAUGAACCAUUCAAAAAGUUUAGGAAAAUUGAGGAAAAUUCUUCAGAAACAUUUGAUGUUGUCAAGCAAGAAUCCUUCACAGCAGAACCAGUGUUUUUACAACCAUCGACUUCAACAAAAGAUUUAAGUGAAUUUAGUAGACAAAGUUUUCAUACAGAUCAAAGCUCAAUAACUAGUCAAAGUAUAAGAGAAAGCAGUGAUUAUAAUGAGUUUGACAAUUCUCCUAAUCAAAUUGAUUUAACUAAUAUUAAAGAAGAACCAAUCGAUGUGUUUCAUGAGAAUAGUAGAGGCCUGAAUAAUAUCCUGCAUCAAGUUGAAAUGCAGCAAAAUCAGUUUUCAGAAAGUCAUAACACUAGCAUGGAGAAUCUGCAACAGUUAUCAAACAGCGUAACAACUUAUGGGGAUGUAUCUCCAACAACAGCUCAUCAGCAACAACAAAUAUUAUCCCUGCUAUGUCGAAGUCGACCUCAUAAUGUUUUACCAUUGGAGGAUAAAGUUAAUUUAAUAAGACAAUCUGAAAAACCUGAAAAACCAACCCAACAUGAGCUGGCCAAAAUGUUUGGUAUUAGUCAGAAAUCUGUGUGUAAUAUUUUAAAAAUGAAAAUGAAAUAUGUUCAAGAAUGGAAUUCUAAGUUUAACAAUGGAUCCAAUAUAGGAAUGUGAAAUAAUCAAUAUUAGUUUCCUAUUAACAACUAUUCUUGUGUUCACAAUCACAUACAUUUUUUUAAUGCAUUGUUUUUACGGGCAUAUAAUAUUGUUCCUUAAAUGACAUAAUAUUAUGUUCACAAUUGCCAAAUAAGUAGGCCUGCAUUAAAUUUUGAAACCAUUCUCAGAAUUUUCUGAGAUAUUAAGCUUUGACUGUCAAGUGCCCUUUUGAAAGAAAUGUCUUGAAUUUCAUGCUGGCAAAUUAUAAUCAUAUUUAAAUUUCAGUUGAUUUGUGAAAUAAUCUUACAAUUUACACAAAACAUUUUAAUGUUGUAUCCCAAAUGGAUUAUUUGUAAUACACUGCUAAUACCAUGAACUAUUUCUCAAGGUGAAAACAACUGGGAAGUUUGGUAGAUUCAGUAUAUACUAGAAUGUGACAAUUUUGAUUGUAAUGAAAAAAUUGUGAAUCUGACAGCUAAUUUUAACUGUCUGUACAUAUACAACCAUAUCUGAAUUUGUGUGUCAUUUAAAGUCCUUUCCAGACAACUCUGAAAAAAUGAAGGAUACCUGACAAAUAUCUGAAACUAUUAAAUUUGUACCUUGUAGUUUGAACUAUAUGCUGACAUGUAUUAAAGAAAUAAAACAUAGGAAAAAGACAUAUAUUUGAGACUUGUGUGUGAAAUUAUGCCAUUUAUUAAUUUUAUCUGAAUGAGAGAAGGGUCCUGGUUUCUAAUUUCACAUUGUUGCUUACAAAAAUGAUAUUAUGUCUCAUUUCGUUACCUUUGAAUUGUUAUUGCACGAUUAUUGGAAACAUGAUUGGAUAGAUGUAUGCAUCUGUAUAUCGUUAUAAAGAUUUCCGCACAUAAUAUAUCUGUUACUUGUCCUGUCUAUGGCUUGCUCUGUGAUUUAUAUUUCGUUAGACCUGGUCUGAAGAUACAGAACAUAUUUGAUUUCCUUUAAUUUCUGUCAGGCUGGUUAAUCCCUGUGCUGUUUUCUCUCCAAUAUUGAUACAUCUACAUGUACAUGUAGGUUCUUGUGUAAAUAUUAAUAUAUAUAGAAAAUAAAUUUUUAGCAAUGUGAACUUUUUAAAUAAAGGAAAUGUGGCUUUAUAGCUAUUCUAAAAGGAUUAAAUAUACCCCACCUCAGGAACAACACUCAUCACUAGAUUAUUUAUGUUUCACUUGCUAGUUGCAUUUGUCUUUUAUAUAUCAUAAUAUCUAAAUGAACUUAAUAGAAGUAGGCUGUUGUGUUAAAGAUGCUGACCUACUUAAAUUAAGUAUGUGUGAAAGAAAAAAACAUGCAUAACUAGGUGAUGGAUUUUGGAUCCAAAUAGGACAAACUCUUCUGCUUCAAUUCAUACAUUGUUUACUCGAAGUCGGCCUCAUAUUGUUUUACCAUUGGAAGAAAAGAUUAGAUUGAUUAGACAAUCUGAGAUAGUUAUGGGUAGUAAUAAACCUACCCAAAAUGAACUGGGCAAAAUGUUUGGUAUUAGUCAGCGAAGUGUUUGUAAUAUAUUAAAACUAAAAGAUAAAUAUUUAGCAGAAUGGUCGUCAUUAGAUUUGUCUUCAUCGCUUGACAAAGACAAAUCUUGUAAUACACAAGAACUAGAGGGAAAUUAUAAAAAGUAGUAUUUUGUUUACAUCAACAGUAUUUACAUUUUAAAAACAUUAGAAACUGUCUUCAGUAAUUACAUGUACAAGGUAUUAAAUAUUCUUGAACUAAGAUGGUUCUGUAUAAUUUUAUUUUCUGAAUUAUCAAUACAGUAUACAUAUUUUUGUACUUUUUGUUGAUUUCAAUUGAAUUGUAUUUUCUGGAGGAAGAAUGUGGUAUUGUGCCAUAAUGUUAUCUGUUUUGAACUGUUAUUGUAUUUAAGUGAUAGUAUAGUGUCGUAUUUUGGAAAUAUUGGUGAAAUCUUAUCUAUACCAACUCCCAUUGUAUAAUUGUAAAUAAAUGACUUAAGCCAUC
This is an RNA transcript of Patella vulgata (common limpet), 3305 nucleotides long. RefSeq lists it as uncharacterized. The record is from RefSeq and is a predicted model, not a curated record. The transcript has 5 exons. Lineage: Eukaryota; Metazoa; Mollusca; Gastropoda; Patellidae.